CAGACCAAUUAUGGUAGGGUAGGAAAGUGGGGAGUCCUUUAUAUAGGUCCAUAAGCCCCUCCCAAACUACUACUAUUGGGAACCUUUUCAAAUAAUGCAACACAAUAUUCGGCGUGGUAAUUAAUUGGCAGGGGUAUAUGACAGUGCGAGGGUUAAUUUGGUUCAUUUUGACCUUGCUGGGUCCUAGUGAGUUGCCAUAGUUGAG
Pelobates cultripes (western spadefoot toad) is the source of this 205-nucleotide non-coding RNA. Lineage: Eukaryota; Metazoa; Chordata; Amphibia; Anura; Pelobatidae. The record is from the annotation of a GenBank genome assembly.